Molecule: long non-coding RNA, 221 nt
Filed under: Sphaeramia orbicularis (orbiculate cardinalfish)
Lineage: Eukaryota; Metazoa; Chordata; Actinopteri; Kurtiformes; Apogonidae
Description: lncRNA (ENSSORG00005014874.1)
Source: RNAcentral
GAUAAAUCCAAAACUUCUUGGCUCCCAGGUCAUCCCUCACAGAACCAAACAAUGGUCCAAUUGUACUUCUACGUCCUUGGGGAAGCCGAAACUCACAAAACAAACCUCACUGUGUUGCACAUGGGGUUUGGAAUCGACGUGCAUUGUCUGGGAAAACAAGGAGGGCAGAAAGGAUAGCUCAAAAAAAGUGGACUAACAGGAAGUGUCUGUUGCCACUCACU